UGGGAAUUUUGGACGAAUUGGGCGAAAGCCUGAUCCAGCAAUGCCGCGUGUGUGAAGAAGGCCUUCGGGUUGUAAAGCACUUUUGUCCGGAAAGAAAUCCUUGGCUCUAAUACAGUCGGGGGAUGACGGUACCGGAAGAAUAAGCACCGGCUAACUACGUGCCAGCAGCCGCGGUAAUACGUAGGGUGCAAGCGUUAAUCGGAAUUACUGGGCGUAAAGCGUGCGCAGGCGGUUUGCUAAGACCGAUGUGAAAUCCCCGGGCUCAACCUGGGAACUGCAUUGGUGACUGGCAGGCUAGAGUAUGGCAGAGGGGGGUAGAAUUCCACGUGUAGCAGUGAAAUGCGUAGAGAUGUGGAGGAAUACCGAUGGCGAAGGCG
RNAcentral lists this ribosomal RNA (377 nucleotides) under uncultured bacterium. Its description in RNAcentral is "partial 16S ribosomal RNA". It matches the Rfam family "Bacterial small subunit ribosomal RNA", at positions 356 to 723 of the family's 1533-position model. The record is from RNAcentral.